Vespa mandarinia (Asian giant hornet) is the source of this 1342-nucleotide long non-coding RNA. The record is from RefSeq and is a predicted model, not a curated record. Lineage: Eukaryota; Metazoa; Arthropoda; Insecta; Hymenoptera; Vespidae.
GGAGAAAAGAAGGGCGUCGUAAGGGGCAGAAUAUUGCGGUAGGCUACGCGCAUCCGUUCGUCUCGAGCGACGGUACGCGACUGUGUGUGCGUGCGUGACGGAGCGAGCGAGCGAGCAAGCGUUCGUUCGUAGUCUUUCCAUCUUUCUCUCUCUCUCUCUCUGUCUCUUUCUCUCUUUCUCCCUUUUUCUCGGAGCGUAAGCGAUAGAAGAAGAAGAAGUAGAAGAAGAAGAAGAAGAAGAAGAAGAAGAUGAAGAUGAAGAAGGAUAGAAGUAAUAGAAGGUUGGAGAAGAGAUGGCGCGGAAUGGAGGCGGAGGACAGUGGCGCUGCGGGUUGUGGUGGGGGGAAGAAGAAGUAGAGAAGGUAGGAUCGUAGUCGUCAGGAGUGGGGUGGGGAGGGAGUAGGCCGGGCUGUAGGACGUCGCAGCGAGAAGAAGAAGAAGAAGAAGAAGAAGAAGAAGACGAAGACGAAGACGAAGAAGAAGAAGAAGAAGAAGAAGAAGAAGAAGACGAAGAAGAAGAAGAAGAGAAGAGAAGAGAAAAGAAAAGAAGUGGUACUAGCAGCUAGCGGUGGCAGCGGCGGCGGUAGGAACGGUGGUGGUGAUGGUGGUGGUGGUGGUAGUAGUAGUAGUGGUGGUAAUGGUGGUGGUGGUGGUGGUGGUGGCUAGUGGUGGUGGUGGUAGUAGUGAGGAGCAGCUUAGGACGGAACGAGCCGAGGUUGGCCGAACGUAAUAGAUAGACGAAGAGAGCCGAACGUAUACGAUCGGAGCGGCGUGAGCUAGCUUGUGCGAGCGUGCGAGCGAGCGAGCAAGCAAACGAGCAAGCAAGCAAGCAAGCAAGCAAGCAAGCAAGGAAGGAAGCAAGCAAGCAAGCGUGCGAGCGAGCGAGCAAGCAAGCGAGCGAACGAGUAAGCGAGCGAACAACCGAAUAAGUGCGAGCGAGAGAACGAAUACGGCGCUCGAACUUGUGGAGUGUGAGUCUGGAGUAGUGAGUGAACGAGUCUGGACUAGCGGGCUACCCCGGUUCCGAGUCAGUCAGUGUGCCACCGGCGACCGUAGCCUCGCCGCGCGAGAACGUGGGAUAUAAUAACGCGAUCGAGACGAAGAGACAGACGCACACGUACACAUAUACACGUUUUAACUUAACGUACAUACGUGUAUAUACAUAAAUACGUCGGGAUAUACUUACACAAGAACGAGAAAAAGAAUCGCGAAAGAUCGUGUUUGAUUUUCUUCGUAAGAAUUAUAUCUUCAUCCGAUCGGUAUAGACACGCCUCGUUAAAUCGUUAUUUUUUUAAACGUUAAUCGAGAGAAAAGAGUGAAGAAGAAGUAGAAGAGGAAGAAGA